This is a long non-coding RNA of Gavia stellata (red-throated loon), 502 nucleotides long. RefSeq lists it as uncharacterized. The record is from RefSeq and is a predicted model, not a curated record. The transcript is spliced from 3 exons. Lineage: Eukaryota; Metazoa; Chordata; Aves; Gaviiformes; Gaviidae.
GGAAAGAUGAAACUCCUUCUUCAUGAGGUGGCAGCACUGCUGUGCGGGACUCCUGCGGUGAGAAGUCGUAUUGUCCACCAGGACCCAGCGAGGUGAAAAGCACCCCAUGAGGAGGAGACAUUGCCCUUGCUUCUGACGCCCGUGCAACAAUGCAGUGUGACUUCCAAAGCAGUCGUUGCAUGAUUUUUCACAGAUGCUACAACACAGUGGGCAAAAAGCUCAAGGACACUAAGUGUGUACAGCCCUCAUGUAGGACACCGGCCACUCAGCCCUUCCCAUCUGCACAGAAAUGCUGUGGAGUAAAUAGGACACUCACAACAGGGCAACUGCAUGUGAAGUCCUUGCGCUGCUCCUGGACUACUCCAUAGAGCAAAGGAGCCCUAUAUGCUGCUGCUCUCACCGAAGGACAACUGCACCCCUUCCCUAUGAAUGCAGUUGGAAUCUAUGGCAACUACAACAGCACUGUAAAGCCACAAGCCCAGGAGAAGAUGAGACAGCCAAG